Long non-coding RNA from Papilio polytes (common Mormon), 457 nucleotides. RefSeq lists it as uncharacterized. Lineage: Eukaryota; Metazoa; Arthropoda; Insecta; Lepidoptera; Papilionidae. The transcript is spliced from 3 exons. The record is from RefSeq and is a predicted model, not a curated record.
CCUCCAUAAAAUAAUUACUAUCUUUUAAUUCACAUUUAUAAUAACAUAAAGGCGUAAUCGAUAGAAUCGUAAAUCGCAAAUGGAGCAUUGGCGGGAUCACAUUUAAUUACAGAUAACCUACAAAUUAACUACAGAUGCGUUUGUCGACCUUUUUGAGAUGUGCUUUCGAAGCGUUCUUGGAAACGUAUCAUUGCACCGACGUGAAACUAAUUUUCUUUGACAAAUUGAAUUCGCUCGUGACAAGAUGGGAACGCUGACGACCUACGUAUAAACUGAAGGAACCGAAGCCCAGUUCCGUUCGAAGUUCUGAAAAUCGAUUGUCCAGAAGAUAUUCCCGGUACUGAAUGAGAAACGUCAUCGUUGCCGCGUUCUUAAUUAAGCGAAGUUUUUGAAAUACCCACUAUCUCAACCAUGACAGACGUGCAGUGACGCAACAGCGCUUUGUUCAGAGUGUUAC